CCUACGGGCGGCAGCAGUGAGGAAUAUUGGUCAAUGGGCGGAAGCCUGAACCAGCCAAGCCGCGUGAGGGAGGAAGGUACAGAGUAUCGUAAACCUCUUUUGUCAGGGAACAAAGGCGGGGACGUGUCCCCGGAUGAGUGUACCUGAAGAAAAAGCAUCGGCUAACUCCGUGCCAGCAGCCGCGGUAAUACGGAGGAUGCGAGCGUUAUCCGGAUUUAUUGGGUUUAAAGGGUGCGCAGGCGGUCUGUUAAGUCAGCGGUCAAAGCCCGGGGCUCAACCCCGGCCCGCCGUUGAAACUGGCAGUCUCGAGUUGGAGAGAAGUAGGCGGAAUGCGCGGUGUAGCGGUGAAAUGCAUAGAUAUCGCGCAGAACUCCGAUUGCGAAGGCAGCAUGCCGGCUCCACACUGACGCUGAGGCACGAAAGCGUGGGUAUCGAACAGGAUUAGAUACCCGGGUAAUC
Molecule: ribosomal RNA, 459 nt
Filed under: uncultured bacterium
Lineage: Bacteria
Description: partial 16S ribosomal RNA
Rfam family: Bacterial small subunit ribosomal RNA
Source: RNAcentral